RNAcentral lists this ribosomal RNA (250 nucleotides) under uncultured prokaryote. RNAcentral describes it as "partial 16S ribosomal RNA". It matches the Rfam family "Bacterial small subunit ribosomal RNA", at positions 524 to 773 of the family's 1533-position model. The record is from RNAcentral.
UACGUAGGGGGCGAGCGUUGUCCGGAAUGACUGGGCGUAAAGGGCGUGUAGGCGGCUCUAUAAGUCUGGAGUGAGAGUCUUGUUUUCAAGGUGGGAAUUGCUUUGGAUACUGUAGAGCUUGAGUGCGGAAGAGGUAAGUGGAAUUCCCAGUGUAGCGGUGAAAUACUUAGAGAUUGGGAGGAACACCAGUGGCGAAGGCGACUUACUGGGCCGUAACUGACGCUGAGGCGCGAAAGCGUGGGGAGCGAAC